RNAcentral lists this long non-coding RNA (33774 nucleotides) under Malus domestica (apple). RNAcentral describes it as "long non-coding RNA (MDOM_LNC008776)". The record is from RNAcentral. Lineage: Eukaryota; Viridiplantae; Streptophyta; Magnoliopsida; Rosales; Rosaceae.
GCCUAUGAGUUGCUCAUAACUUACACUUUCCAAACUCACAAGGCCUUCAAGAGAUAGAGAUUCCAGCCUGGAGAAGGCAUUAUGAGAAUAACUCCAACUAACGAAGUUAAUGACAUAUGUAACUUCGUCGUUGUUUUGGACGUGGAGAUGCUUCAGUUGAUUAACAGCUUCACUGUCAAAUAGAUAGGAAAUAAUAUUCACACUCUCAAUUCCAUCCAAGUACAAUUGCUCACAUCUCUUUACCAGCAACUUUACACCUCGAUCGAAUUGAUUACUCCUGGUGAGCUUGAGUUUUAGCAUGUUAGAGGAGGUUUCAUCGAAGUCAGGAUAUGCCCAACAAUCACCGAUAAGUAUGGUGUAUCUUUCUAACUUAUCGGAGAACAAGUUAGUUGGAAGAAGGUUAGCAUCUGGAAUGUGUACGUCCAACGCGGUUAGUUGAGCCAAGUGCUUCAGCUCUGAAACUCUAGCAUUACUUCUUCUGCCAUCGACCAAACCUUCACCCUCCCAUAGCUUGAAGCUACGUAUUCCCAUCCUCAAGUCUUCUAGUCUUGUCAAGCUUGAUAUAACUGUUGGAUAUAUGUCAACAAUCUGUGAUAAUUUAUAUAUGCUAAUAAAUAAUAAAUGUAAUAGGAAUUAACAGAAUAUUAACUAGAAUACGAAUUAUAAAAACAACUUGAAGAUCGAGGCUUGCGUACCGCAACGUCCUUGAAACAGAAAUUUCGCCCCUACUCAGUGCUUGUAGUUCUACGGACAUCUGUUCCACCAGGAUUCAACGAUCUAAGUCAGAAAUUCCAGCACCGGAAAAUUGACUUAUGGCGAAUAUUAAUGUGGUUCUCUCAGAAAGGAUGUUUAUGAUUACAGGAGAAGAUUAUUGAUUUUUCUGUGUUCUAAAUGUCAUGCAGAUGGAUGUAUAUAUAGCAGAUGGAUGCCUGUUUGCAACAGAUAUGAGAUGGGAAGUGACUGUUGGGAGACAUCUCUUCAGGGGGUGCUUUGCUCUGUGUUCAGAAAGAACUCUCAGACUUCAAAUUCGAAUUUAAUUAAAAAUAAUUAAUUAAAUAAUUUAAUUAUUAGAGCCCGAGCCCAAAGGCCCAAGGCCCAUCUUUUGAUAAUUAAUUAUAUAUUAAUUAUCUAUUAUUUAUAAUUAAUCAUAUAUUAAUUACCAAUUAAUUAAUACACCUCAAAGCCCAGCCCUAAGGGUGAGCCCAAUUUUAGUCUCCAGGCCUAUUACUCCAAUCACUUUCUAUAAAGGACAAAGCCUUAUAAAGUGAUAAAAACUUUAGGGAAUGGCCAAUGUGGGACAAUGAAAUUUCUACUCAAACUAUUUAAAUUUCCAACAAUACCCCACAUUUGAGUUGAAAUUUCAUUCAAACUCCAACAAUCACCCCACAUUUGAAUGCAAAUGUAGAUGCAAAUGGAGGACUAGGCUGCCUAAAACUGAGAGAGAAUAGGCAUGAUAUGCAUCGGGUGAAGUGUCUUUUGGACUUGAACUUACCCUAGUGAAAACAUAUCGGGUUUACUUGGUGACGCAGUGGAUGUGGAAGAUCUUGAACUGUUCACCGCAGUAGUAAACCGAGACAAUAUGCUACACACAUAUCAUGUCUGCCACACGUCAAUUCAUACGGUUGUGUUCAUUUCGACCCUGAACAUAUCCCGGAUUUCGUAGGAGCUUUAGAGAAUUUAGCCAUGUCAAUUCUCAUAAAUGUGGCCUCAUUUACUCCUAUAUAGGUGACAUUAAUUAAGAAUAGUCUGCCAUAUUCCUCUUGAUAACAAGAUAUUAAUGUCAUUAAAUGUAUAAAACAUAACCCCUCAAACGUCAACAGACAACACACAUUUUAUCAUAAGAAUGGGUUUGUGUGUUCAACUUUUGAAUCAAGACUAGUCUUGAAGAAAAACAGAGCACUAUGCAAAUCUUUUGGUUUUCUUUUGCUUUUGGAGAAAUCUGCAUAGUAAAAGCGAAAAGAAGGUUAUACCACACUUGCAAAGUAGAAGUCGAGACCAUGAACAAGUUUUCACAUACAACUAUUAUAGUAAAAAACUUGCUUGUGCUGAACAAUAAAAAUAUAUGACAUAUAAAAAGUAGAAUCCAUAUAAAUUGGACCAAACUACAAGGCAAAAAUAAAAUGUAAUCCAGCCCAAAAGAUGAGGAUGUGCCUUACAUACAAAACAACAUUCAGAAAUAAACAAAUAAAAAAUAAAAUAUGAAUUUCUUCCUCAAAAGGGGGGAAGAAAACGUACAACACAGAAAUCUCCUAUUUCUCUGCAGGGCGUGGAAAAAACUGCACAAGUUAGCGGGAGAGGUUAAGUAAAAGUGGCAGGAGGUCAUGGCCUCCAACAUCCCCCACGUAAACAAAUUCUAGAGCUUUCCUAGGAUGCCUAUAAAUAGGCAUCACCUGCAGCAAAAUGGAGACAGAAAAAAAAUAAAGGGAGGAGACGCUGCAGAAAUUGAAAAGCACAGAGAAGACAACAGAGAGGCAAAGCAAGAGAGCAAAGGCACAACAAAGGAAAAGAAAGAAGAAGAAGAAAUCAAGAGCUACACGCAAGAACAAAGAGCAGGAGAAACUACACGGCAUUUGAAGGUAUAAGCCGUUUCAUUCUUUUUAAUUUUUUUUUUCUGGGUUGGUUCUCUUCUCUGCUUUGUAGGAAGAAAAGAAGCACUUUGCUUCUUCAAACUGUCCCAUUCCCCAGAGCAAAAAAAAUGAAGGUAGAGACUCUAAAUAAGCAACCCCAGAUCCUUUCUCUCUCUGGUUAUUCACCGAGACCUACGAAGAAAACUUGGGAAAUUUCUCCUCCCUGCGCAACCGAUGGCAGCAAGUGUUGAUGUAUGCAGCAACCAAACCGCAACACCACCGCUCUUCAACCGUUGUCUUCAGCAGUCCUUCGGAAGAAGCCCAAGGGCCCCGAGGACGGUGAACCAAGCAAUCAACCAAGCCGCAACACCACCGCUCUUCAACCGUUGUCUCCAGCAGUCAUUCGGAAGAAGCCCAAGGGCCCCGAGGACGGUGAACCAAGCGAUGUAGUUAGGCACGCAGGUCCAGACCAUCAACAAAUUCAACAAAUGCUCGUAUGGGAAGAUGGCAGCGAUGGUCAGUGUGAAGAAGUGAAAGAAAAAAAUGCAACACCAAUCGCCGCGAGUCAUUCCCACCCCACCAACAGUGGCGAGAAUAGCCUAAAACCUUCAGAAAAUGUGGAAGACAUCCGAAGGCAAGAAAGCCGAGAAUUUGGGAAAAGAGAAAUGUCCCCAGGUCCGAGGAUGCAGCGGAAAUAGUUCUAAAGUUGCACUUUAGAACAGAUUGCAGAGGCUCAAAGGCUCUCUGUGAAGCUCCUGCAGCCUCUCGGGUGUCUAAAGAGGUUUUCGACAUCUCUCUUUCUCUUCUCAGAGAUGCAACGGAGAAGAAACCAUCAUUCUGCAUGUUUGAACAAGUGGAAAAGAAGAACCCAGCAUGCCCAACGAUGGUUCCGAGGCUCGCCAACAGCGCAAAGAUGGACACACCAGCAGCAGCCAUGCCGUGAUCUCUGCCCAGCAAGUUCGUCCAUGCCGAGAAGAAAAAGGAGCAGUUUGUGCCGCUGUAGUUUAGUCCCAUGAAUUUCUUCGGGGUGGUCUAAACCACCCCGUGAAGUUCCAAUCAAACCUGAAAUUUGCGUGAGAAUUCCGAUGCCAUGCUCUGUCUUCUCAAAGUUGAAGAUGUUGAAUACUGCAGCAACAUGCAACAAGCACGAACAUGGAAAAGCAACAACAAAAUGACGGACGUGAAGACAAAAUGAAAUGGACUUCAAGACAAAAUGAAUGAAAAGGAAGGCAAAUAAAAGAAGGAAAAGUUGCUCAUCACGUAGGAGUCUGCUCACAUAAAGGAAAAGUAAGGUCGAUUGAAAUUAGAAGACAAGUCUUAUUGGAAUUUGGAGACCUUUAAAAGUCAAAUAAAGAGAACAGUAAAGCAUGACUGUUAGAAAUAUUGAAGUCUCACUUUUCCUUCAAAGUCUCAGCCACAAAAAAACAAAAGCAAAUUGUACCUCACAUGGGAAUACUCACGUGAAGAAAAGGGUGGUCUAUUGAAAUUAGAAGUCCCAUUUGGAACUUGGAGACCUUUAAACUCAAAUAAAGAAAAGUGCAAAGCCUGCUGUCAGAUUAAAAGAAAAACUUGGGUCUUGGAUUAAAUGGGUUCAAAAUCUCAUGACAAAUGGGUUUGAAAAUUCAAAAGCAAAGUUAUAAAAAAAAGGGGGAAGCUACUUCUUAAAGAAUUCCAUCAAAAGCCUUUUUGUGCUAAGACUUUGACGACAUAUGAUAUCCCAUAUGGACUUGGAAAAAUCAAAGUGUACAAGGGAAGAAAUAAGAAGCUUGCUACAUACAAUUCCCUCAAAUUAAAAUGGGAAGGCUAUCCACGAAACCAGAAAGAAAAAAAAGAGUAGCUCUUCCAUAUUACUCAUAUGGGUUUUAUGAAUAUGGCAUCCAUCAAAGUUAAAUUUAUUCAAGAAGUCCGAGAUGCACGGCACCGAGACAAAGUCAAAUACCAAAGUAAUAGUGGGUUCAUCACAAAUAUUCCCAUUAAAUUUACAAGAUACAAGUAAUGGCACAAAGCUGCGAUGAGUCUCAAAAAUAAUGAACUACACCGGUUUGAUUCUGUUAAGGAUAUGUAGGCAGUCUGAUAUCAAAAUUUUAGACGCAAUCGUGAAGUUGAACGAAUCCCUGGUUUAUAUAAACUAAAUUCACUCCUGCUAUCAAAUACCAAAAUGGCACGAAGCCGAAGAAAAAUUUUCAAAGUGCACAAAGCCGUAUCAAGUAUCAAAGGGCAUAAAGCCGCAACAAAUCUCAAUGGCAUGAAGCCGUAUCAAGUAUCAAAAGGGCACGAAGUCGUGACAAGAUUUAAAUGGCACAAAGCCACAUAUGCUCCUUGCCCGCACGAGCUAAAACUGCACAAGACAUCAAAUGCUCCUCGCCAUCAUGAGCUAAAACUGCAUAAGGCACUAAUCGCUCCAACGGCUUAAAGUCCUCGCCUGCAUGAGCUAAAACUGCACAAGGCAUUAAUGCUCCAGUGGCUUAAAGUCCUCGCCAUCAUGAGCUAAAACUACACAAGGUAUUAAUGCUCCAAAGGUUUAAAGUCCUCACCCGCAUGAGCUAAAACUGCACAAGGCAUUAAUGCUCCAAUGGCUCAAAAUCCUCGCCCGCACGAGCUAAAACUGCAACAAAGCAUCAAAACCAAACAAGUAUUAAAUACCAAGGAACUAUGAGUGACUUGAUCCCUCAAUGAGGGUACGUAAGCAAUCUAGGGUUCUAUCUAGGUGCAGUCACAAAAUCAAAUAAACAUCCAAAUCCCCAAAUUACGAUUUAUUCAUAUUAGAAUCAAAGGGUGUUCCUUUCCCAAAUGAAGGGUUGUAAUUAAUAGGCGCGUAGCCUAGAAUGGGUCGAACUCGAAUUAAUAAAACCCUUUUCAAGAAAUGAACGAGGGUGAAAUUGUGUCGAGUGAAUUAUUUGUUGUACAAUUUUUGCUCAACAGCUUGGUACGGAAUUUAGGCAACCGUUUUCAAAUCUUAAAAACUAUGAAAAACAUAUAUAAUCUGCUUUGAAUUUCACUGAGACAUUUUAACAAACACCGUAUCAGCACACAUAAAGCUGGUGCAUGAGGCAGAGAUCGAAAUGUAGAACGAUUUGCUCGUUGAAGACCUCAUAGGCUCGUUAAACACUAUAUCACAGAGCUACUGAGCUGGAUGGUACAAUGGAGUUGGCCCCCGAUUCUCGCAAGCUGACCUAGUUAACUCUGCCAAGGCUCGACGAGUUCUAGAGGCUCAUGAUGAGCUAAAGAAAUCCGAGGCCAUCAACCGCGAAAUCAAGGCAGCCGUCUCCUCCUGUUGCUGAAGAACAAUCCAAGUUCAAUGAGGACACGCCUCAUGUUGCUGAAAUGUAGAACGAUUGGCUCGAAGGUGAGCUCUCCGAUGUCCCGAAUCCCCAUCCUCCUCGCCGCCUCUCGGCCUCUCGUUCCACCGAGAGUUGGGCGUUGUCAUCGUCGUCGUUAACGGGGAUCGACAAAAUGUAGGCGGCCUUGUCGGUGCCGCCGUAGAGCUCUGUGUCGAAGGUGACGAAGGUGAGGGAGACCAAUUGCAGCCCAUGAAAACAUUUCCCAGCUGAAAAUUUGAGCUUUUUCUAGAUUCUGUGUAAGAAUUUCAAAAAUCCAAUCGUUUAAUUUGGUUUUCUGCUUUGUUUUUAGUAUCGUUUUUCGCACUCUCUUCUCUACAGAGUAUGAAAUUUCAAACAUUUUGUAAUUUAUGGGAUGUUUUCAAUGAAAGCUCAUAUCUAGAUAUGAGAAAAUAAUCCACCUUUUUGUCUUCUUUGGAGAUUUUGGCAGAUUUUUCUGUUUUUUUUUUUAAGAGUAAAUUGUAACUAUGAUUUUUUAAUUUUAAUUCAAUUAGAGUAAUAGUUCUUCAAUUAAAAAUUCAUUACCAUUGAUCCAUCAACUCAUCAAAACGUACAGCUAUAGUCCCUCAACUAAAAAUUCAUUACCAUUGGUCCCUCAACUUUAAUUCAAUUGGAGAAAUGAUCCCUUAACUUUAACCUAAUUGUAGCAAUGUUCCUUCCAACAUAACUCGUUUUGACAAAAUUUUUGAUGUAGUUGACGAAAAUGACCAUAAUUACACACUUUGAUGAGUUGAGAGACCCUAAUUGUAUAAAUGGUCAUUCCAACAUAACUUAUUUUGACAAAAUUUUGAUGAAAAUGACUAUAGCUACACAUUUUGAUAAGUUAAGGGAUAAUUGCUCCAAUUUGAUUAAAAUUGAGGGACCAUUGCUACAAUUUACUCUUUUUUUAAUAAUUUUACAUUCAUCAUUUAUUUAUACCAUCACUUGUAUAAUUUCUUUAAAACAGAUAUGUUUGUCAACGCAUGUAAAUUCUUAAAGAUGAUACAAAAGAUGGUAUAAAUAAACGGUUAAAAUAGCAUUUUUAUCCCUCUUAACAGAGUCUCAAAGCCUAUCAAAACUCUAAAAACUCCAUUGCAGAUCCCCAAUAACCUUCUGGUUUUCAUUUUCCAUUAUCCAAUUUGGACUCAAAAUCCAACCGAACCCUCCAAAUUCAGCAAACUUUGGUUUUAAAUUUUGCCUCCUCUAUUUCACACUUUCAUCCCUCUAUUUCACACUUUCAUCAAAGAAAAGUGUUAAAAUUGUAGUCUCUUUUGGUCUCAAAUCAGACUUCACAAUCCGAUUUCUAAAGUAAGGAGGGAGAAUGAUGAGACUUUGAGGCUUCGUCAAUCCCACAUCCCAAUGUUUUAAAUUUUAUUGUUAUUUUGAAUUUGCCAAAAAAAAAAUUAUGCACAGUCAUCAUCCACGUAGGCCACAAUGACAAGCCAUUACAAAAUCAUCGUCCACGUGAGUACCACGUUAUGUUUUAACGAAGGUUCAGACAGUCAGACUAACGGAAAUAUGAAAAUGUCACAAAAUUCAAACUUUAGACUUUAUGUAUGAGACUUGUUUGUACCAUACUUGACCAAUCCCGAAACUAUCGAGCAUUGGACAACGUUAUACCGUCAAGGACCUAGAAGAGUUUUCGUCCAACUAGGAGGCCAAUCACAAGGCGACACAUGUCGACAUCAGAAGCCAAUCAUAGCGCGACACGUGUUAACAUCGAAAGCCAAUCACAACACGACACAUGUCAAUGUCAGAACAAAGCUAGAAACUCUCUUUUAUAAAAGGAGAUCAUUUUCCCACAAUAUUUCCGAAUGUCAUUUGUACUAAAUCAUUCACCAGUACUCACUAAAGGAGAGCUUGAACCUAUGUACUUGUGUAAACUCUUCACAAUUAAUGAGAAGUCCUCUACUCCGUAGACGUAGCCAAUCUGGGUGAACCACGUACAUCUUGUGUUUGCUUCCCUGUCUCUAUCCAUUUACAUACUUAUCCACACUAGUGACCAAAACAAUCUAGCGAAGGUCACAAACUUGACACUUUCUGUUGUACCAAAGUCCUCACUGAUUUUGUGCAUCAACAUUUGGCGCCGUCUGUGGGAAUGACACUUAUUCCCACUCUCUUCAGCUUUGUCAAGUUGGUUUCCACCAUUCAUACACUCUUUUGACUAGGCAUCCCUUCCCAACAUGGGGAGCGAAGGAAGCCACAACACACAUAAUGACACCCCUCUUGCACCUAGUGCGAAGCAACGAAAGAAUGAAGGAAAAAGGGUUGCUCUUCAAGCUAAAGUCGAUGAGCUGGAGGCUCAGAACAACAAGAUGGCAAUAAAGAAUGAAAUCCUUCAGGAACAAUAUGAGAAGUUCUUCGAGACGCUCCACAAAACUAGACGUGCUCAAACACACAAGCUUGUGGCCCAUGUGGACAUCAACCAUCAUCUGGGUGCCCCCCAACACGAAUGGUCACUUUCCUUCGACAUGGAUAUCCCUAAUAAGGAGCAAGCUAGUCAUCAAAACAUUGAUCAACAUGAGACUUCUCUCAACCCAGCUGCUUCGACCCGAAGCAAGAGAAGUGGAGGAAGACACCUCAUUGCAUAAAGGUUAGAAGGAUCAAAAGCCGUUUAUCGUGACUGCCGAGACUUCCUAAAGCAACGUCGAGAGAAUCCCCUCCACAUAAGCUCGAAGAUCAAUGACCCAAGGGUUUCUGAAAAACUCGGUCCCCUCCCACGACCCAGGCCAGCUGCCAAUCUAGGGAAGGAACGACAUGUCCCAAAGAAACAUGAAGGUACAUGGGACUGGGAGGUAUUCCGACAUACUCGCCGUAGAAGUCAGUACGGCAAGUCCAAGGAAAAACCACACGCUCUUGCUCAAACUUUCCUACUUCCAAAAGGUGAUGGAGACUUACGGAAGAAAAUUCCAGUAGUACAUGACUCCACUCAGGACCCUUUUUUCCUACAGCUUCUUGAGGAAGUAAACAAGUUGAAGGCCGAACGUCAGGCCGAGAUACUUGACUGGAACCAACCCAGGUCUGGCCCUCUCACAAAGAGCAUCAUCGACACCCCCUUCAAGCGAAGACAAAACAAAAGCUUGGUUUACAACUCUAUACUGGAAGGAAUGACCCGAUUAAACACCUUAACCACUUUAAGUCCACCAUGACAUAUCAGAUGCACACCGACGAAGAGCGAUGUCUUCUCUUCCUUUCCACCCUCUUUGGCGGAGCUCUAAACUGAUGACUUGUACACUAUUAGCCAAAAACCGGACCAGUCACUACGAGAGUAUGCCAGUCACUUCAGCCAUGAGUAUUCUCGCUGCAUUGAGGCAGAUGACAAGACCGCCCUCAAGGCUUUCACGGCAGGCCUACGUGAUUGUUUCUUCAAGUACAUGAUCAAUGCCAACACUUGGAGGACUUACUCUGAGGUGAUGGCACAGGCUUACAACCACGUCUCUGCUGAAGCAAGGACAUACCAAGGGAACCCACAUAUGGUUAACCCCUAUCAACAAGUGGGAAGUGGAAGUUAAGUUUUACUAAGUGAGGAGAUCUUGACCAUUCAAACACAUAUUGCAUCAUCUCCUGCCUCAUUUAGCUACUCGCUAAGUCACCAAACGUAUUUGUCUCUUGGUAAGAGGAAAGAUUUUUACUCUUAGCAAGCCCAUUACAACAAGAGUGAUAAAAGUUCGUAUCAAGACAACUAGGGGUGAACGUACUGUUGACUAUUAUGACUAUGGGGCUAAGCCUCACUCUUUCAAAGUGGAGGACUAGGUACUGAAGGAAAUGCUAUUAUAAGAAGGCAUACACAUUACAAAUGUUUUGACCCUCAACCGCUUGAGAUCUUUUGUCACACAAGCCAUUCGGCAAAUAUUUAAAGAAGAAGGAAUUCAGACAACUUCUCUUGAGUCUUUUGCAUUCCUAGCACUGGAACACUUGGUCUACGCUGACCUACCCCUAUACUCCAACUCAGAGCUUCAACAUGCGUACUUUGACACAAAGUAUGUGAUACUAAGUGUUACAACCAACAUGGUUCACAUAUCGAAAGCAUGGAUCCGUUCAUGCAUAGCAAAACAUUUAUAAGCAUCACUCAUGUCAAUCAACAUAAACAUCAUACAUUCCAACACAUUUAUACAUAAACAUCAUACAUUCCAACACAUUCAUACAUAAACAUCAUACAUUCCAACACAUCCAUACAUAAGCCAACUGUGCUUCGAAAGGGUUCAACAUACUUUGUGUCAUUCGACACUUCCUACAAUGUGCCUCGACACAUUGCCCUUAUUCUUACCAACCAGGUGAUGAAAUGUGAAAAAGGAACUCAUCUUCAUGCCACCAAUCAGGUGAUGAAAUGUACAACCCGUACUCUAAUAUCAUUUGGCAACUUGCCACUCAUGCCACCAACCAGGUGAAGAAGGAACUCAUCUUUAUACCACCAACCAAGUGAUAAAAUGUACAACCCAUACUCUACUUCAUGCCACCAACCAGGUGAUAAAAUGUACAACUACAAAUUCUCAAAAGCUUCACACUAUCUUGAUCAAAAUAGUGUGAAGCAAAAUCAAUUCAUGGUACCCAACAAAGCUUCACCUACAAUGCUUCACCACAAAAGCUUCAGCAACAAAAGCUCCAACAAAUGGAGGGCAACUACAAAUUCUUAAAAGCUUCACACUAUCUUGAUCAAGAUAGUGUGAAGCAAAAUCAAUUCAUGGUACCCAACAAAGCUUCACCUACAAAAGCUUCAACACAAAAGCUUCACGUACAAAGCUUCAACACCAAAGCUUCACCUACAAAAGCUUCACCUACAAAAGCUUCAACACAAAAGUUUCACCUACAAAAGCUUCACCUACAAAAGCUUCAACACAAAAGCUUCACCUACAAAAACUUCACCUAUAAAAGCUUUAUACACUUUUGAUCAAGAUAGUGUGAAGCAAAAUCAAUUCAUGGUACCCAACAAAGCUUCAACUUCAAAACUUCACCUAUAAAACUUCAACACCAAAGCUUCACCUACAAAGCUUCAACACCAAAGCUUCACCUACAAAGCUUUAAUAUAUAUAUAUAUAUAUAUAUAUAUAUAUAUUUUUUUUUUUUUUUGGAAAUUAAAAAAUUCGGAAAUUCAAAAAAAAAAAAAAAAAAGGUUCGAAAAUUCGAAAAAAAAAAAGGGCCUAGGCCUCCUCUUCUUUGGGCCUAACAACUUUCAUAACAAAUAUAUAUAUGAAGGAGGAGUUUUGGGCUACCACUUAGAAAGAAAAAUGGUGAAAUCUUGUUACACUAGAAAAUUGGCUACUAGCAAGACACCUCAUUCGUCAACUCCCUCGACCAGAGACUUGGGGGGACUCCUACCCAUAUGCUACUGCACCUUGAUACUUCGAAGUCUUACGACCACUCAGCGACGGAUUUUUCAAGUCUCCAACCUAGAAAUUUUCCUCACUCGGGAAAUUAAGGGAGCACUACCACAACCUACAUGCUUCACUCACAAAGCUUCAACAUACAAGCUUCAACAAAAGAAAAAAAUUCAAAGAACUUAGUGAAUGAGGCCUUGGUGUAUUUAACACAAUACGUUGAAAUGAAGCAAAGCUUAUUUAUUGAUAUCUCUGAUAAGUUACAAAUAUGUACAUAUAAAUAAAUCAAAAUAAACAAACAAGAGGGAGCCUUCACAAAGGUUGCUCAGGAGAAGUCUCAGCAGUCGGCAGAGCCCCAGAAAGAGAAUGCACCGGAGGGUGAUCAUUCGGAGCCUUAGUACUGGCCAGAACCCUAGAAGGAGAAGGCACCAGAGGUUGAUCAUUUGGAGCUUCAUUACUCGGUACAACCCCAGAAGACGAAGGCAAUAAAUGCCUUUAGAACAAACCCACAAACCUCUAAUGAUAAAGUAAAAUCUGACCAUUUGAUUCCUGCAGCUGGUCAAGCUUCCUCUUCAUGUUUGUAGCAUAGUCAUGUGCGAGCAUGUGCAACUGUUUAUUCUCAUGCUUGAGCCCUCUAAUCUCCUGUUUGAGACUUAUUACUUCAGCCGCUAAUGAUUCAACUUGGUGGGUUCGAGCAAAUAGGCGUUAGGCCAUAUUAGACAUAGAACCUGCACACUGAACAUUGAGAGCCAGAGAAUCCUUAACAGCCAACUCAUCAGACCAUUUGGAAAGUAGUCUGUUAUCUUUGAGAGUGAGAAGGUUCCUGGCUACCACCGUAGUGGUCAUAUCAUUCUUCAUCACAGAGUCUCCAACGAUAAGAGGACCAGCGGGGGAUAAGAAAGAUAUGCGCCAUAUGUUGUCUUGAGAAAGCAUGGCUGCCUCUUCACCACGUCUUAAAAACUCACAAGGUCUUCAAGAGCUAGAAACCAAUAGGCAACUGUUUUCAAAUCUUAAAAACUAAAAACAUAUAUAAUCUGCUUUGAAUUUCACUGAGACAUUCUAACAAACACCGUAUCAGCACACUUAACGCCGGUGCAUGGGGCAGAGAUCGAAACGUACAACGAUUUGCUCGUUGAAGACCACCAAGGCUCGUUAAACACUGUAUCACAGAGUUACUGAGCUAUAUGGUACGAUGGAGUUGACCCCCGAUUCUCACAAGCUGACUGAGUUAACUCUGCCAAGGCUCGACGAGUUCCAGAGGCUCAUGACGAGCUCUAGUUUACGAGAGAAAUCUGAGGCCAUCAACUGCGAAAUCCAGGCAGUCAUGAGCUCGAGCAACGCAAGGUCAGGAACAGAGACAACCUCAAUCUGAAAGGUCGAGCAGAGCGAGGAGGCUGCCAAGUGUUUGAUUUUGUUCAUCUUAAAGAGAAUUUAAUUUUUUUAUUUUUUUCAUUUACAAGUAUGAUAAAUGGCAGCCAUGGUGAUUGGUCCUAGAAGAAGGAAGGUGGAGUAAAAAUGGUGAAAAAGUUGCAGGGAGGAAGAAAGGAGGUGUUUGGUUGUGUGUAAAAUUCUUAUAAUAGCAGGUGUCUUAAACUUGGUAGACCACAUAAGCAAAGUCGUAUUGGGUACUCAAAAGACAAAUACAAUUUUACAAUUUAAGGACAAUACUUGUACUGAACAGUCAGUAGUCCAAUUUUACUGACCACCUACAUAUAACCCAGCAACCAAACACCCAGAUUGAUAGGAUCAGGCAUGAUAAAAGAGAAAUUCAUAUUUCCAUUCAUGCCAAAUUUAGAUGAACAUAGUAGUUUAAAUACACAAAAGGAUAGCUAGGAAUUAGUAAUUUUAGUGGGUUUAACAAUAGCAAUGGGCUAAUAAAUACUAGUAACCUAUGGUGGCCCAAGGGUCCUAACACAGAUUCAUUCACGCCACCAUUGUCAACCCAUCUCUCACAGAUCCAGAGCAGCCCAUCCUCUCACUAGCGACCCCCCUCCAAUCCCUCUCAUCUCCGGCGAUCCCACUCCUAAUCGUUCUCUUCUUCAGUGACCCACCCCGAAACCCUCUCUUAUACUGCCAAUUGGGUGCAUGUACGCGAGGAAGAUAACAAAUUUGGGUGAAUGGAGCACAAAAAUCCAUCUUCCAUAUAUUUUAAUGACCCAAUUAGGUGCACGUAUGCUAGCAUCCAUUAUCUAUGAUGUCUUUUCGAGAUAUUUCAGACUUUCAUCAACUUAUUUUGUGGUGAGAAGUGGGGGAUUGGGGUGGGGUCACCGGAGAAGUAAAGAAUAAGGGUGGGUCGCCGGACAAGUGAUGGAAUGGAGAUGCAUUCUGCACAUAGGCGAGGAAUGGGUAUGGGUAAGGGAUGGAAAAGCAUUUCGUUUUCCAUUUGCUUCCUCAAACCCGAGAGAUUUCUGCGAUUGCAAAGAGAGAGAGAGAUGGGGUGUCCUUUAGGUGCCCUUUAAUUGUCACUUUUGUGAUUUGUCCAUUUUGAUUGUUGUGUGACUCAUUCUCACGACCGUUCUAUGCACAAGGUUUCAUGUCAUUCCUUCCUUUUAAUUUUGAUAUUGUUGUGCUUAAUUUCUGUUUUAUUUUAUUGGAUGAUUAGAUUAACAGACCUUGGAUAUUUUGUUAUAAUAAUUUCACAUCAUGUGUUGCCUUUUUGCAUCACCUUAAUUGUUCAUCAGAAGCUAACUUUUAAUUAUGUUUUCUUUAGGUCAGUCUCCAUCCGGUACAUUUGUCCAUUCUUCUGGAGUGGAGCACUAUCUUUCUGACAGCAUAAAUGCUAUGAGAAACUACUAUGGAGACAAACAGUUGUUUACUCCGUUCUAGAUAUGUUUUUCUUUAGUAUUUUAGAGGGAUUCUUAACUAUUCCCCAUUGUAAUCUUUACCUUUGUAUCUAUCUCUCUCAAAAGACGAUGAGAGUAGCAACUGUUAAAGAUGGGAGCUUUGAAUAAUUCACAUAAACCUCUAAUUUCAAAUUUCUGAAGCGCUCCGGCCAAAUUGAGCUUCCUGACUGGACCGACAUUGUGAAGACUGCCACAUUCAAGGAGCUUGCAGCAUAUGAGCCUGAUUCGUACUACAUUAGAUCUGCAUUCAUGGCAAGUAAAAUCUACUUGAGGGGUGGUCUUGGUGUUGGUGCCUUCCGCAGGAUCUAUGGAGGGAGCAAGAGGAACUGAAGGAAUACUGAGAAGUAUGCAACUCUUUUUGCUUUGCUUUAUCAUUUUUGUACUAAGCUUCUUCUGGACACAACCGCAUGGUAGUAGCAAAAGUUGGGUUAUACAGCACUUGCAAAGUAGAAAUUAUGCUACGAAACGGAUGUUUCUUGAUCAUCAAACAACAAAAAGACUAAAUAGAUGAUGAAUGACUUUCGGAAAACAAUUUUUAUAAUCCAAAAACUUGCUUGGUAUUGAGCUUAGAAACAUGCAAACAUGUAUAAUUUGCCUUGAAUUUCACUGAGACAUUUUAACAAACCAUAUCUUCACACUUUGAGCCCUGCAGAAAAUGAAAUGAAGAACAAUUCGCUCGUUGAAGACAACCAAGUUUCAUUGAAGACGUGUCUAGUGCCCAUAUCUAAAAUGUCAAAAACUAGUAAAUUUGUGUUUGGUGGUAAAAUUCUGUAAUAUAAAUUUUAAGAUAGUAACAAUGGGGGUGGUGAUGGUGUUUGCAGCUAGAGUGGUGUUGGUAGCAAGGCGGUUGAGGUGGUGGAAGAGGGGUGUUGGUACCAGUAUUGGUGAGAUAUGCACAUUGGGUGGCGGCAAGAGUAGGGUGGUGAGGGGAAAUAGUGGUAGGUGACGAUGGUGAUGCUGGUGCAGGAGGUGGAAAUUGUGGUGGCUAUGAUAGUAGGGUGACGGCGAUGGAGAUAGUGGUGACUGGCAUUGCCAUAUCUAUGGCAUCUGUAAACAUGAACUUUUAUCAGCCUGGAAAAAGAGUCUAGCAAGUUGGUCGUGCCAUAUUAAUUGUGAUCAACUGAGGCAAAUCGUAGAUGAUUAGUCUCUGCAAGUUAGGAAAUCCGACCUACAUACACACACACGCACACACAUUAAUCUUUUUUUGUGCGAUAGAUAAUCGGAAAUUGUUUGGACUCAAAAUAUACCAAUUUUUACUUAUUUGGGCAAUUUGGGUAAAAGAUGGUAUUUGAAGGAUUAAUGUGCAAGAAAACUAACUUGGAAAGAUAUUUGGCUAAAAGUGGGAGAGUUUGGCAUUAAAAUAAUGUUUUUCCCUUUGGUUUGGACGGUGGAGGUUUGCCAAAAGAAUUGUUUAAUCAAGACAAGUGCAUGCUUUUUCAUGCAAGUGGAUGAGAAUGCACCAUGAGAGCUUUCGGACAAGGAACAUGUGAAAUAAGUCAACUUACUUCUUUUAAAUGUUAGUUUAUUACAAGUGGAAAAACAUGUGAUGAAAGCAUGUGGUGGAAAUGCAAGUUCCCCUUUUAAUAUUGUUUCUACAUGCAAGCUGUCCAAGCAAUGAAAUGCAAGCUGCCCAAGCUUCUUUCGGGCAAGUACAAGGUCCUCAGCAGGGGGGUUUCCUCCAGACCUCUAUAUAAAGGAGCACAAGCACAAGGAUUAUGGACACUCAAACAACCAAACAAAUACAAGCACAAACUCUGCUCAAACUAGAUUUGCCAAAAGCCUUCUUUUAUCUAGUUUAUUAGCUAUGCUGUUCACUAGUAAUAUUGAUCUCAUUUGUAGUCUUUAUGUACAACUCAUUUUCAGUCAUUUAAUCUACAAGCAAUCUGCAAUAUUAGUCACUUUCCCCUGUUAUUUACAUUUUCAAGCAACCUUGUCAUUUACAUAUUGUUCUAUCUCUCCAUAUAAGUAAAAUCCUUAUUUUUAAGGCAAACAAAGAACCUUGAUUUGAGCAACUCCCACUCAAAUGGCACAAUCUCUUGAUUUGAAGUCAAAAGGCGCAACCUCAAUCAUUCAAAUCCCGUCUACUAGCGGCAUCUAGUAGUGGCACGCCCACACCCCACCACUCUCGUAUGUGAGCAAAUCCCCGGCAUGCCCACAAGGUCCAUGGCGGAUUUAGGGAGCGAACAGAAAUAAAUGCAUAAACAAAGAUAAAUGCAUGAAUAAUAAACAUUUUCAUCGAAAAGAAAAUAUUGUACAGCAGUCUCAAGAUUCUCCUUCCACCCAUUCUCUUCAGUUUCUUUGUGUUUUGUAAUACUUUCACCCUUACCAUCAAAUAUGAAUGCCCUCAGUUUAAGACAAUCUUCUAGAUGCAACAGCUUCAAAGCGGAAGUUCAAUAUGUAUAACUUCCUGCUCAGAAUCUAGCGGGAGAUAUUGCAAUUGUAGAUGUUUUAGCUUUCAAAACCUGUUAUCCGUAUUUACGUCACUAUAUUUGAGUUGUACAUUUUUUGACAUUUGGAUUCCUCAAGAUGUUUGAGUUGUACAGAACAUCUAGCCAUGGAACAUGAAAACAAGAAUCUUAAACCAUCAAGCUUGUUAAGUUGGGGCAUCUGAACCAGCUGUAUAUAAUACACAAUGUAAGUGUAAUUAGCAAGAAUGACAAUUUUCAUGGUUAUCAAUUAGUUGUAUUUAUUCCAAAAUGUAUAGACAAGAAAAGAUGAGUAGACAUAAAGUAAAGGUCUAAUAUGAAACAACUAGUAACCCAUUGCUAGUAUGCGUUUUGUUCUUUCUUCUUUGGUUAACCAAACCAUAUAAUCAUACAUUAUCCUUUAGGCACAUUAUUUUCUCUAUAAGCUGAGCUACCAUUUUGUUAGAGGUUUUUAUCACAAAUAGUCUCUGAAAUUGACCUUAUUUUUCACUUUGGUCCUUAAAAUUGAAAACCGAUCUACGUCGUCUCUAGUGUCCCAUUUUGUUAAUUUUUCAGUUACUUUAAUAACAUGUCACACAUGGGGACCCAUACGUCCAAUAGUGUAGUGCCACGUGGAUUAUACAUAAAAUACAGUUUUUAAUUUGAUUUAACAUUUAAAAACUCAUUAACAAAACUGAAAAAAAGUAAGAUAAAUAAACAAAAAUAAAAAUCAACCGAACACCUCCAUCUCAAAUCAAAUUGCCGAAAAUUAAAAUCAAAAUCGAUUUGCGAAAAUCGAAAUCCCAAAAAUGAAAUCAAAACACGUAUUACGGAUUCAUAGGAAAGAGUGAGAGUUUGUUAAUCACCUCCCCCACCCCACGCCAAACCGAACCUCUCCCGUAACCUGGCUGCUGGUCGCUCCUCACCCCAUCCCCUUGACUCUGGUGCUUUGGAGAAGAACAUGAAAUUAAAUUUGAAGAGGGUAUGGAGAUGAUAGUUGGCGAUGAGGAGCAGGUAGCUAGGUUAGUUUUUUCAUCUAUUUUUUUAAAACCCAGAAAAUGAAAGUCUCUUCUUGAUUUGAAGAAGCUUUCUUUUCUGCCGGUGUUUUGAAGCAGCUGGGUUGGUAACUUGGUAGUGCUCUUCCCCCACUCUUUUUUUUUUUUUGGGGAGUUGUGUUCAUGAUUUUAAAUCUUGUAUUUUCUUUAAAAAGUUUAGUCCAUGUGGCUCCACACAUUAGUUGUAUGGGUCCCCAUGUCUGACACCUCAUCAAACAACAACAAUACAAUAAUAACAAAGCAUUUUCUCACUAAGUAGGGUCGGCUAAAUAAACGACACCUCAUCAAAGUAACAAAAAAUAAAUGGAAUGGGACGGUAUAGACGACAUUAAUCGAUUUUCAAUUUUAGAAGCUAAAGUGAGGAGUGAGGCCACUUUCAAUAACAAUUUGUAAUAAAAACCCUUUUGUUAGCAGAAAUCCAUAUUCAUGAAAAGAAAAGAUCAUACCUCCCCAAUUCAGGAAAACUUUCGUAGCCCUGCAAAUUACAUUCUCCAUAGUGAUUUCUCCGGCUUCUGUAUAUGUAGUUGCUUCUGAGUCCGUGCAGUUACAAGUUACAACAGAGGUGCUGAAAAACCAAUGAACUUUGGUAGAUUCUACCACAUCAAAGACCGUAGUUUUUCAGAGGGCUAGUCUAUGAGAUGGCCACAACAUACACUUUCCAAACUAACAUUGUUGUAAAGAGAGUGACGCCAAGUUUGGAAAGCCAUUAUGAGAAUAUCUCCAUCUACUCAAGUUAAUGGAUAUGUAACUUGAUCAUUGUUUUGAACAUGGAGAUGCUUCAGUUGUUUAACACCAUCUAUGUCCAAUAAAUGGGAAAUAAUAUUUACACCCCCCUUCCCAUCCAAGUGCAAAUGCUCGGAUCUCUUUAGCGGCAAUUUUUAUAACUUGAUCGAAUUGAUUCUUUGUAUUUAGCUUGAGUUUUAGAAUGUUAGAGGAGGUUCCUUAGACAUCAGAAUAUAACCACCAAUCACCAACAAAGACGGUGUACCUUUCCAAACUAUCUGAGAACAAUUUGUUCGGAAGAAGGUUUGUAUCCAGAACAUAUAUAUCUAAUGCAGUUCACUGAGACAAAUGCUUCUAUUGAAUUUCUAUGUGUAUUUGAUACCUUCUAACAAUUACAAGAUGAAACUUAUAUAUAGGGAAAGAAAGAGGACAUAAGCCUAACUUGCCUAACUUGCCUAACACUUGCCUAACUUGCCUAACUUGCCUAACUUACACAAAGAAAGUUGACUAGCCUAACUUCACUAGUCAUCCAAUACCAUUGUUCCAACAUGUUUAUUUCAUGCAUUUUAACACUCCCCCUCAAGUUGGAGUGUGGAUGUCAAUGACACCCAACUUGCUAAGUAAGACUUCAAAUUGCGCCGAGCUUAGUGGUUUGGUGAACAAAUCUGCAGGUUGAUUCAAGGUUCGUAUGUAAGCUGUUUGCACCAUUCCCAUCUGAAUCUUCUCACGUACUAAGUGACAGUCGAUCUCUAUAUGCUUCGUUCGUUCAUGAAACACUGGGUUCGAAGCAAUGUGCAUGGCAGCUUGAUUAUCACAAAACAAUGUGACUGGUUGUGCAUGAUUCACUCGUAAGUCCUUCAAAAGGUUCCUUAACCAUAUAACUUCACAUCAGGUGAUAGCCAUAGAACGAUAUUCUGCCUCUGCACUAGAACGAGAUUUUGUGCUUUGCUUCUUCGUUUUCCAAGAUAUCGGUGCUUGCCCAAAGAAGAUACAAUAAUCGGUUAUUGACCUUCUAGUGUCUUUACACCGAGCCCAAUCAGCAUCACAAAAAGCUUGUAACUGUAGUGAACCUGUAGAAGGCAAAAGAAUUCCCUACCCAGGAGAUUGUUUGAUGUAUCUGAGAACCUUAUGCACUGCAUCAAGGUGUGGUUGUCGCGGCUUGUCCAUGAAUUGGCUUAACAUAUUAACCACGUAAGUCAGGUCAGGCCUCGUGAUGGUUAAGUAAAUUAGCCUCCCUACGAGUCUCCUAUAUGAAGAAGGAUCAUGUAGAAGCGUCCCUUCAGUUUGUGUAAGGGAUAAGUUUGGUUCCAUCGGCAAUCGUGGGGGCUUCGCACCAAGGAACCCAGCAUCUUCUAGUAUCUCCAACGCAUAUUUGCGUUGGCACAAGGCAAUCCCUUGUUUAGAUCUUGCAACUUCUAUCCCCAAAAAAUAUUUGAUUUUUCCCAAAUCCUUUAGCUUAAAAUGUUGGGAAAGGAAGAGUUUAGUCUCUUCAAUUUCUCUCAAAUUGUUACCUGUAAGUAUCGCAUCAUCAACAUACACAAGUAAUGCCAUGAAACUGCCUUGACGGUUUCGGACGAACAAUGAGUAAUCUGACCAUGAUUGAUGAAAACCAGCAGUCUUGAGAGCACUAGACAGCUUGAUAAACCACUGUCUUGAGGCCUGUUUUAAACCAUAAAUGGAUUUGUUUAAUUUGCAUACUCGUGUCUCCCCCUUUCGUCCGAACCCAGGAGGUAGGGACAUAUAAACCUCCUCGUAUAAGUCACCAUGCAAAAAUGCGUUGUUUACAUCAAGUUGGUGAAGAUGCCAACCACGGAUGGAGGCAAUACUGAGGAGGACACGGACGGUGGUGAGCUUGGCAACUGGAGCAAAUGUUUCCCGAUAAUCAAGCCCUUCAAUUUGACUAUAGCCUUUAGCAAUGAGACGGGCUUUGUAGCGUUCAACACUGCCGUCAGGUUUAAGCUUCACCUUAUAGAUCCAUUUGCAGCCGAUGGGAUGUUUGUGAGGUGGUAAGGGCACAAGAGUCCAAGUGCGAUUGUCAUGGAGGGCAGCAAUCUCUUUUUGCAUGGCGUCACGCCAUUUUGGAUCCUGAACAGCUUGCAAAAAACUGGUGGGUUCUUUGAUAAUGGUAAGGGUGGUGAGAAAGGUUUUGUGAGUGGUGGAUACAUGGUCAUAGGAUAAAUAACGAGAUAGGGAGUGAGAUGUACCUGAUGACUGAACCAUGCUUGUGGAAGAUGUGGGUGCAACACGGGAUGGGAGGGCCACCUCAACAUGAAAGUCCUGCAAAAAUGUGGAAGUUUUGGUUGGUCGAGUGCUACGACGGAGUGGAGGGGUUGGAUCUGGUGAUGGAGUGGUUGGAGGUGGGGAAGAGUGUAGGGUAAGUGAAGGUGUUGAUAAGGUAUCUGGUGGUGGAGUUGUAGAGGGUAAAGGAGAUGAAAGUGGUGUGAUGUCGGCAAGUGUGGGAGAUGUGGUGUUUAUGUCUGCUGGUGCAAGGCUUGAAUGCUACUCAAUGGGAGAGGUCGAGUCAAAUGGGAUAGGUGUAGUGUUUGAUGGAAACGGGGCAACGGAAGUGUUACAAUUUUGGAAUGGAAAAUGAUCUUCAAAAAAUACGACAUCCCUAGAAACAAAAGUCUUAUUGUGUUUUAUAUCAAACAAUUUAUAACCCUUUUGACCAUAAGGAUACCCAAGAAAAAUGCAUUGGAUUGCACGAGGGUCGAAUUUAAAGGGCCUUUGGGCAUGUGUAGAAGCAAAACACAAGCUGCCGAAAACCUUCAAAUGAGAAUAGUUAGGUGCUUUGUGAAACAGUUUUUCGUAGGGUGUUUUACCUUGGAGAAGUGAGUGGGUGUUCUAUUGAUGAGGUAGGCUGAGGUUAGGAUUGCAUCUCCCCAAAAACGUUUUGGCAGACAAGCUUGAAAGAGCAAAGCCCGAGCAACAUUGAGCAAGUGUCGGUGUUUACGUUCGGCAACACCAUUUUGUUGUGGUGUGUUAACGCAACUAGAUUGAUGUAUAAUGCCUUUGAGAGCAUAAAAUUGCUCAAGCUUAAACUCAGGGCCAUUGUCACUUCGUAUGAUUUGAACUCUGGUAUUGAAUUGAGUCUCAAUCAUUUGAAUGAAUUUUACCAAAAUGUCUUUUGUGUCAGAUUUAUGUUUCAUCAAAUGAACCCAAGUGCUUCUAGUGUAGUCAUCUACGAUGGUAAGGAAAUACUUGGCACCUGAAAUAGAAGCAACUUGAUAACCACCCCAAAUAUCAAUAUGCAAUAAUGCAAAACAUGAUUUGGUAGAAAUAGAGCUCAAAGGAAAGGGUGAUCGUGUUUGUUUGGCCAAUGGGCAAAUUGAACAUUUUUCCAAAUCACAAGCUUUAUUGUUAAAGAAAGGUAAUAACGAAGCGGCUUAAUGAGAUGGGUGUCCUAGGCGUUGGUGCCAAAGCUUUGGUGCGAUGGUUUGAAUAUUGUUGCAUGUUCCUUUCCUUGAUGAGUUGAGGUAGUAGAGUCCCUCCCUUUCAGUUGCCAUCCCAAUCAUCUUCCCCGAGCGAAGGUCCUGAAUUAGGGGUGGGUUCGGUUUAAAUCGGUUCGGUUUUUUGCCAAAACCGAAACCAAACCGAAAUUUCGGUUCGGUUCGGUUCGGUUCAAUUUUUUUUCGGUUUUUUUCGGUUCGGUUUUUUUUCGGUUUGGUUUUUUCCGGUUCGGUUUCGGUUUUUUGUUUUUUUUUUUCAAAAAAUGAAAAACAUUGAAAUAUUAAAAUUUAACAUAUCCAACACAAUCAUAACAUAAGCAUUCUAACUAGAGUCAAAGACAAUGAAAAUAAACAUUUAAAGUUGAACUAAAAUCAUCAAUCAAGUCUUCCAAAGUCCAAACUAACAACCUCACAACACAAAAAUCGUACAAAUGACUUAGAAAAGUUAAAUUGUAUGAUGUUGUUCAAAGAUCAGGGUUGUUUGCUUGUAACUACAUGUUGACAACUUGAUUAGUAAAAGUAAUGCAUGGGUGGAUUUAUUUAGUGUGUGUUGGAUUCUUUUCCAUAAUAAAUUACCCAAGUAAUCUACCCGAAAUAAAUGUUUAUGGAUUCUGUUACAUGUUAUAUGAGAGUAGAUUUGGACAAGAAAGCUGGGGCAGAAGUAGACAGUGCUAUGGAGAUGGAUGUAGGUACUUUAGGAGGAGGUUUGGUUACGGAACCUUAUAUGGGAGAGAAAUAAUAGGUUAGGGUUUAGAGUUGUUAUAGGCUUUUUUUAAUAUUUUGAGCUAAAGUUUGGCCACACAUUGGGUUUAGCACAUUUUAACUUACAAAUUGGGUUUAGAAAAUAAUACCCAAAACAAAUAAUUAAAUAAAAAAAUUAAUUUAAUUAAUUCGGUUCGGUUCGGUUUGGUUCGGUUUCUAGAUCACUAAAACCAAACCGAACCAAAAGAAUUGGGUUCGGUUCGGUUUUUUCAAUUCGGUUUGGUUUUUUCAUUCGGUUCGAUUUUUUCGGUUUCGGUUCGGUUUGGUUUUCGGUUUUUUUCGGUUUUCGGUUUUUUGAACCCACCCCUAUCCUGAAUGACACAAAAUUGGGUGAAGAAAAUUGUGACAUAUAAGGAAUCAUAGGCUAGUUUACUGAUGGAUAUUAAAUUUAAUUUAAAGAACGGCACACAUAGGACAUUGUCAAGGAUAAGAUUAUGAGAGAAAACAACUUGUCCAAUGUGAGUGACUUUGGCAACGGAACCAUUUGGCAGUUCAACUGUAUAAUUUUCAACAGCUCGUGAGUGUGUAAAGAGACUCGGGCUGCAAACUAUGUGAUCCGUGGCACCACUGUCCAGGAUCCAAAUACUUUCGGUUCUCAGAUACAUCAAACAAUCUCCUGGGCAGGGAAUUCUUUUGCCUUCUACAUGUUCACUACAGUUACAAGCUUUUUGUGAUGCUGAUUGGGCUCGGUGUAAAGACACUAGAAGGUCAAUAACCGGUUAUUGUAUCUUCCUUGGACAAGCACCGAUAUCUUGGAAAACGAAGAAGCAAAGCACAGUAUCAUGUUCUAGUGCAGAGGCAGAAUAUUGUUCUAUGGCUAUCACCUGUUGUGAAGUUAUUUGGCAACGGAACCAUUUGGCAGUUCAACUGUAUGAUUUUCAACAGCUCGUGAGUGUGUAAAGAGACUAGGGUUGCAAACUAUGUGAUCCGUGGCACCACUGUCCAGGAUCCAAAUACUUUCGGUUCCUUUACAGGAAAAAGAUAAGGCUUUACCUGAAAGUUCUUCAUGACUAGAAGGAUUACCAACUUGAUUGGCAAAUGAUGAUUUGUUCUUGUUCAACAUUUUAAGGAUUUGCUUGCAAUCCUCCUGAGAGAACGGGAAAUUGGGCAACAUCUCUUGCUUGUUACUUUGUGAAACUUGAUUCCCUUUUGAAGAAAAAGGACGACUGCUUUCCGUUUCUGUGGCUGCUUUCCGUUUUCGACAGAAAUCGAAGGUGUGACCUUUCCAUCCACAAAAAGUGCACUUGAGAUGUGCAUGACAGUUUUUGGUGAUGUGAUUGGUUCUAUUGCACUUUCCACAUCGCAUCUCUUUGUCUUCCGGUGUAGGUUCUUGCGACAAAUUCUUCACUGCAAAGACAACAGCCUCUGGUUGUGUACUCUUCCCAUUGGAAACCUCUGCCUGGCGUUCAUGUCGAAGGACCAACGCAUAUGCCUUGUUCACCGUAGGCAGUGGUUCGAGAAGAAGGGUAUUGCUUCGAACCGUAGCAUACGAUUCGUUCAAUCCCAUAAGGAACUUCAUGGUUUUCUGAGUUUCAACAUAUGAGUUCAUCUCAUUCUUUGUUCCACAACUGCAUGCUGGAAUGGAACACAAAGUAUCACGUUCAUCCUAUAAACUUUUAAGUUUAGUGAAGUAAGAACUUACACUCAUAUUGCUUUGGACGCAAUCAUGGAUCUCGUUCUCAACAUGGAACAGCUGAACUAUAUUCACAUGUGAGAACCUCUCCUGCAGAUCAGUCCACAUUUGUCGAGCAUCCUUGUAGUUGAUGACACUCCCUGAAAUCUCCUUUGACAUGGAGCCUAGUAGCCAUGUCUUGACCAAGUUGUUGCAACGAUUCCAUUGUUGCAGCUCCUCAGAAUUGUCCUCACUUGGUUUGUUGAUUGUCCCAUCAACAAAACCAAGUUUGUUCUUGACCGUUAAGGCCAUACUCAUGGAUUGAACCCAUGUGCUGUAGUUGUCUUCCACCAAUGAUUGUGGUACGAGGAUUGCACCAGGUUGGUCCGAGUGGUGGAGAUAGAGUGGGUGGUUGGGAUUUUCCCAUUUUGAAUGAGAAGCCAUGCCUGGAAUGGUUGACCUCGUGACUGCCUUAGAGCUUGUGUUUUGUGGUUUUCCCAGAUCACAGCUCUGAUACCAUAUUGAAUUUCUAUGUGUAUUUGAUACCUUCUAACAAUUACAAGAUGAAACUUAUUUAUAGGGAAAGAAAGAUGACAUAAACCUAACUUGCCUAACUUGCCUAACACUUGCCUAACUUGCCUAACUUGCCUAACUUACACAAAGAAAGUUGACUAGCCUAACUUCACUAGUCAUCCAAUACCAUUGUUCCAACAUGUUUAUUUCAUGCAUUUUAACAGCUUCAGCUCUGAAACACUAACAUUAUGUCUUCCAUCGGUCAGACAUUCACUCUCCCAUUGCUCAAAGCUGUUUAUUCCCAUUCUCAAGUCUGCUAGUCUUUUCAACCUUGAUGAAACGUUAGGUGAAAUCAGUACAAGUUCCGAGCAACCACUCAAAUCUAACAAGCGUAGACGAGUCAGUUCCCCUAUUUCAUUGGGCAACUCUCCAACCUGGGAGUGUGCAUGGCUAAGAACUUUCCGAGUUUAUUAGCUCUCCAACUGGAGCUAUAUCUCCCAACACGCACUGAUCUAAGCACAAUGUUUGAGGAAUGUUAGGUAUUUAAGAUAAGGAGGUCAUGAUGGAAAAUGAAGCACAGUUAAAUCCAACACUUUGAGCUCUUUCAUCUCUUCAAAAAAAAUUUGCAAAGGAUUUCUUGUCGCAGCCCGUCCCGAAAUAUUUAUUUUCGACAACGUGAAAUUACUUAUUUACCCUUGGACGUUUCGUGUGGUCAUGUGGGUGAAUUUUAUUUAGACCAAUUCAAAGAUUUUCCUAAGUUUUUGGAACACUUAGGACUUAUUUUUGUUGGUUGUGACCAACUAGGACCACACACAAGCACCCAUACUUUUCUCUCUCUCCCGUUGACUCUCUCUCUCCCUUCCCUCUCGGAUUUCUACAGAAAAUCCGUACAAACGUACGGACGAACCUCAAACCAACCCAUUUCUGCACAGAUCGAGCUCAUGAUUAGUACUUUCACUUUCAUCUCAUCAUCACGAACUCAAUCAUACCUUUUUAGGACUUGGAAGCUUCGGAAAACCUAUGAAAACCCUACCCCGAAAUUGACACUGUUCAUGCAUGUUCAAACGAAGAGUUUUUAGAGGAUUUUAAGCUCAUAAGGAGCUUUAGAAGGUCCUCACGAAGCUCGGGGUAGCUUGUUGGGUAGUUUUGGAUGUCGGGAUUGUGAGUUUCAAGUUUGGUCGGUUUUUCUCGAAUUUCUCCGGCGAGAUCCCGUGAUAUUUGGGCUUUAAACAGGUAAGGAAAUGUUCUACAAUUUAAGAGCUUCAAUUUGGUAUUGAUUUCAUGAAAUUUGGAUGAAAAACGACUAAGUUAUAAAGGUUUAAAGUUUUCCAGUUUUUUUCGGCGAUGGCGACGGUCCGGCGAACCAAGGAAGGAGACGACGGAAUAUUUCGUCAAGUUUGACAGAAUAUUCCAACGGCGUCAGGUUAGUUUUAACGGUAUAUGCUACUUUUUAACGGAAUAUUCCCUAACGUCGUUAGGAUUACCGUCAGUGUGCCAGGCACGUGCCUGCGCGUGGGCGGCCCGUCUGGCCGUGCCUUGGCCGGGGCGUGGGUGGUCGGAAAAUUUUUCUAAAAAUAUGGGGAUGUUCGUGAAGUUGUGUAGAUCACGUUGGUAUAUUCAAACAUCUCAUUUGAGCAAUGUAUGAGAAGUUAUUAGCUAGUAUUGGUUAUGUGCUUUAAAUUAACGUUUCUAUAGUUGUUUCGCAUAUAGGGGAGACUUAUCCCGAGGACGAGCGCAGUCAAGGGCGACUCGAGGGCUACGACCCUUCGACAUACCAGUGAGUGGGCUUUUGGUUUUCAGUAUUUAUUUAUAUACUUGAUAUUUUCCCAGAAAAUAUGUUUAAAUGAAAGUAUGCCUUGAAUUGCCAUGCAUAUAAAUUGAUAUUCAGUAUAUGAAAUAGUACAUGAUGCAUAUAUAUAAUUGUGGUGCUGUGGACACUCAAGUAAGCCAGGUGAGUUUAUGAAUUGUGAAUGUGAUUAACGUUUAUGAUUAAUUGAGAAGCUUAGAGCUCAUAAACCUUCACCCUGGGUGAUUGUGAAUUACUGGAGAUAGAAUACAGGUAUGUUUAUAAUGUCACCUCCCGCACCAUAUGCUCAUAUUGGAUCCAAUUUAGGUGCACAGUCUUGUCGUACAGACCAUCAUAGGUGUUCCGACUCGUAGAUGACUAGCGAUUUAUCGCACAUCUAUCAUGAGAAAGUAGCGUUGAGCAUAAUUAUAUUACACCCAGUCUUGUCGUACAGACCCUUUUAGUGGUUCUGACUUAUGUGCAGUGUAGUGCCGUAUAGGUCAUUGUAGUGACUCCGGCUAGAUUGACUAAUGAGCUAUGAAAUCAGCCGUACAGACUUAUACAGAGGUUCCGGCUAAUAUGCUAUUUCCAUGAAUUUAUUCUCACCUGAGUCAUUUAUCCUAUUUUCAUGUUUUGGCAUGGCAUACUUAUGAAUAUAGUUAUGUGAAGCAUGAUUUGAAUUGAGAUAUUUAUAUAGUUAUGCAUAUGUUUAUAUUCUAUCUUUGGGAAAAUUAUACAUGUUUUACAACGAGGGGUUAGAACAUUUGAAAGUUAAGUGUGUUUUCAAAACCUUUGUUUUUGCCCACUCACGUUUUCUGUUCUGCGCCCUUCUAGGUUUUAGGUAGACUUGUUGUUGGUGGCAAUUUGAGGAUCUCGGCGGUUCUAACAAAUUAUAUAAUUACUAGGACAUCUUUUGGUACUGUAUAAUUAGUACUUGUCCUACUGGACUGCAUCUAGACUUUCUAUGCUCUGAUUAGGAGUAUUUACACUUGUAUCUUACUCCUAACACUUCUGUUUAUUAGUGCACCUUAGUAGCUUUUGGUUUUGUUUAUUCAUAUAUUUAUUAUCUCUUAUCUCGAUUGCUUCCGCACUGUGCAUAUGGCUACGUCACCCUCACGUGACGGCCAGUACGCCCUGAUCAUGGUCAGGGUGUGUCAUUUCUAGCAAGCCAUCACUAUUCCUAAAUAAAAUAUUUUCAGUUCUGAGCAUUCCCAAGGUACUUGGAGAAGCGUGGGUAUGGACAGUACAGUAACGAAGAGAGACCAAUAUCAUAGAGGACUCUUUAAACAAAUCCAUGGCUGGCCAUUCUUACAACUCCGCAUAUGUUAACAAUCCGGACAGCAACAUCUCGUACAAGCUCGUGCAUUCUAGCACUGAUCAUCAUAACCGUCUUUGAAUCAACAAAUGAAAUGCAUUUCGUGCCUCUUCCACAGUAUCAAAAAUUUUAACCGACACUAAACCUAUAAUAUAUUUGAACAAGUCGGACAAAAAAAUUAGAGUCACUUUGUGCCACCAUUCCGCAGAGCAUGAAAAAGCUUCUCAUCAUCCAAUUGAUUGUAAGUUUGUAACUCCACUCUAGACCCAAGUAUGCCGUCUCUUUUAAUCCUUUUUUGUCAACUUUUGAAGCACUCCCUCUUAAAGUGCUUGCAAGUGCAACAACUAAAACCGGUAAACCCCCACAUUGUUCUGCUAGUUGGGUUGCUACUUUCAGUAUACGUCAUCUUUAACAACAUCACCGGCCAUCUUCUCAAACAAAUUCCACGAUUGUUCUGCUAGUUGGGUUGCUACUUCGCAUCGGUGCCCAGAGAAGUCCCACAAGGUCCAAAUCAUUUCUUCCCAAAACAUCAACUACAGUAACAAGUGUUCUUGUCUGCUCAAUGAUAUUAUUGUUUUUUUAUGCUCAAUAUCCACCUCAUUAAUUUCUGUACCCCAAGUCCAAUGUGAGAUGACUUGCAUAAGAAUCUUUUUCUUCUAGCUCUCAAAAUUUUUGACAAGGAGAAGUUGCACCUGUGAAUUUUGGUUCUUUAUCGAAACAGAUUUUUUUUUUUGAGGGAGGUAAUGGAGAUCGUACUGUCAGACAAAUUGAUUAAGAUAUGGAUGACGAGGAUUUGAUAUGAGCAGGCAAGAAAGUGGCUAUCAAAAUUGAAACAUGAGUGGUGUGUAUUUUUAGAAUUUGUGGUACUGUGGGAUCACGGAAACUUGAAUUAAUCAGCACAACCACAACAAACACUGAUUUGUCCCAUGCUCAAAGUUGUAGCUAAAACUACAAAAAAAAAAUCAUUUUAGGAGCUCUCGGAAAAAAUUGUACUCCAACCAAUGAAAUCUAGCUUUGUUUCCAAACGAAAAAGAAAAAUAUACAAACGUACACACAUCCAGUUAAAAGAUGCGAUUCGAUUGAUUCGAUUUUAGUAAAGAAUAAGAAGCACUCUCCAGUACAAAGCAGUUUUAGUAGACAAGUGCAUACAAGCACCACUUCAAAUGCAUAAAUGUUUACAGAAAUCACACUAGCAUUAUUUCCCAAACACCAAUACCGAAAAUGAAGUGAACAAAGCUCCAAAUACAAAUCACACUUCUACCACGAAACACUAACAAGUCAACACAAGCAUAACAUGACUUGGAAUAUGUAUCAGUGCCUACCCAAAUCACACAAGUUUCUGGGAUAGCUUUUCCGUUGAUGCCGUAGCUUGCAGGCUUAUACCAAACAAGAUGAGAUCGGCCUCGGAUACGAAGCUGGGCACAGACCGUUGAGGGGUGAAUAGAGAAUAGUCACAGCAAGUAACAAGAGAAACUAGCUAGAAAGAAGUAUACUGAAAGUAGCAACCCAACUAGCAACCACAAUAACGCUAAAGCCAUAUAGCCUGCAUCUUCAUGAUCUCCAAUGCCCUUCAUUAAACCACCACAGUAACGCCAAAGCAAAAAAGGUCCAAGCAAUCAUAUAACCAAGGCUAGAAUUGGCCUCUAGCCGACAGAAAUCACAUAACCAAGGCUUCUUCCUUGAGGCGGAAGCUUGCCAACUUAAAUCCGAUAUGGCGGUCGCUGACAAUAAGAGUGGUGCCCAUCUUGUUCUUGGAACUAUGACUAAUAGUCAUAGCACGACAUCAAGUAGCAUAGUUGUCUCCAUCCAAAAAAUUUGGACAUACCAAUGUGAUUUCUGGGGAAUGUGUUGUGUGGUCCAAUAGAUCAGAGAGCCUUCUAGUCUGCUCACCAGGAUGAUAUUUCUUCCUUUAAAAGGAAGAAGAAUAUAAUACACAAACAAGCAAUCACACACAGCCGGAAAAACUUAACAGGCCAGCCAAAAAAUGAGGAUUCCUCUUUGGUAGAGAGUGUUGCAAUUGUAACAUCUAAAUUUGUAUCUUCUGGUCCUGUAAAAAUAUAUAUUUAGUUGACGAUUACAAAUAAACACACAAACUGUUCAAUAAGAAAUCUGACUGAAGAACUAUGAAUAAGAUGAAUAAAUCAGACUUUUAAUUUUAACGGUUCAAGGUUCAGAAAAAGCUGGAAAAUUGGAGAGUGAAAUUAAUAGAUGCUUCAUUAGUGAAUGAAGUACUUACAAUUUGAUCAGGAUCACUCUCCUCUGAAUCACUUAGCAUCGAUACAUCAUCAGUUUCCUCUGCUAUUUGUAGUCUUUUUGGUCUUGGAUCACUUUGGAGUAACCCAUCAGGAGAAAUCUUCAGCUGGCAGUCCUCGACAAUCAAAUUGGGUAAGGAUGGGACUUUGAAAAUGCAAUUUCCCUUGCAAAAUCCUUGCAGACUUGGUAGACCAGAAAGUUCCAAAUGUUCCAAGCAACUGAAAGUAAUCUCAUUUUCUGAAUCAUCUUCGUUGCUUGCCACUAUUUCUACCAUUCUUUCGCAGGACUUAACUACCAACUUCUUGAGUUGCUGCAAAUUCUUAGCCACAGAAUGAGGUAUUAAGUAUUGCAGUCUGUGACAAUCCAAUAUGGUCAAAGUGGUUAGAUUCCAAAAGGAUAUCAAAGUUGAAGCUAGAUUAUCUAAUCUGCUACAUUUUUCUAGGCGUAGAAAUUCCAAGUUCGGAAAAACAGGGCCCCCUGGUUGGGAGUUCUCCCUUCCUAGAUGUAUCAGCUCCGGCAUAUUGCCGAGCCCCAAAACCUUUACACGUGGGAGGGUCUUAACUUCAUGUAUUUCCCCGCUACUACUUCCUUGGUAGUCGUGGACAAUUAAUUCUUUCCAAGGAGCAGAGAGCACACGGAGCUGUUCAAUAUUCUGUAAAUUCUCAAAGAAAUAAUCUGAUUUGGGAUGUGAAGUAGCAAAACCAAUAAAUCUUAGUUUUCUCAACAACUCUGACAGGAGUGGACCAUUCAAAAUCUCCGUCUUCUCGUCCAAAACCAAGUAUUCCAAGUUGAGGAAUGACUUAUCCUGAAAUAUAAUAAAUGGUAAAGGCAUGCUUUAAAAUAUUUUGAAAAACUGGAUAUCACAUAAUAACUUUAAUAUUAAAAACAUAAUAAAUGUAUUUACUUGAUGGUGUAUGUUUAACUAGUAUGUAAAAAUCACAUAAAAUUUCGAAUAUCAAGAGUUGUGUACAAGUAUGGUUACCUUCUCAAUUAAAAAGAAAGGUUGUUCUGUUGGUCUUGGGUGGCCCAACACAAACUUGUCUUGAUAUGUUGAAAAUUCAGCAGCAAAAAUCUCCACACCACCACAUUUCGUGAACUUUAAUUUGUUGAGUGAUGGCCAAUUACAAACAUGCAAUCCUGGAUAGAAACUCCGAAGUUGGGGCAAAUUAUCAAAUUCCAUAGAUGUUACUUUAGGGAACCCGAACUCGUAUGUCGUUUGUGGUCCUUCUUCCUUCACAACAACCUCCAUUAAACCACAAUUCUUAACCUUCAACUUGCUUAGUUGCUUAAGAUCUUUGGCCACUGAGGCGGGAAAGACAUUUUCCAAGCCAUCACAUGAGUCUAUCUCAAUUGAGCUUAGAUUUGAGCACUCAAAGUCAUUCAACUGGGUGGUAGACGAUAUGUCAUAUACCAUUUGUAGUGCUUGACAUUUAGAUAUCUUGAGAUGUUUGAGUUGUUUGAGACAUUUAGCCAUGGAACUCCAAAACAAGAAUCUUAAACUAUCACAUCCAUGCACAGUCAAGGUUGUUAGCAUUGAAACCUGCAUAGUAUAGAACAAAAUCCUGUUUAUUUUAGAAAAUUACUGUUUACAUUGUUGUAGCGGUAUAUGUUCCAAAUGUGUAGAUAUAAAGUAAAGGUCAUAUAUUAUAUAAGCUACUAGACAGCUGUAAGCCUUUCUAUUUUCAUUAAAAAAAAAUUGGUCAAAAAGAUAUAUUUUGUUAGAUAGGUGUGGUCAAAAGAUAUAUUUGAUUAAAAAUAAUUUGGUCAAAAGAUAUAUUGUUUUGGUCAAAAAAUUUUUUAGCCGCAGAAGAGGUUUGAACCCAUAUUGUUAUGUAAGAGUUCAACUCAUUUUUACCACUAUGAUAAAAUGCCACUUACUUUCUUCUUUCAUUAAUUAGCAAUUUAAUUCCAAAUUCAAACUAUUUUACUUAAAUUGAUACCAUGAAAUUGUGAUGACAAGUGAUUGAUUGUUCUGAUUGUUAAGAAUUGAGUUCAAAUUUUCUACGUCUAAAAUAGGUGUGGUCUUUCUAUCGUAUGUCUCAUUACUUGACACCCCAACAAGUGUAACCCUAUCAUAACCCUCUCAGCUCCUAACACUAUGUUUGGAUGAGGGAAAUAAAUUCAGAAUUUGGAUAAAAGUCAAAAUUUAUAAAUUGACAUGCACCAAUUCUCUUAUUUGGAUUCAUAAACAUAGAAAUUUAGAAUUUUCGCGUGGAAAAAAACUUGGAAUUUGGGACCUCCAAUUUCCAAGUUUAAAUUCUAUGUAAAUAUGUGUCAUUUCUCAAUUUUUAUGAUUGAGUGUUUAAAAAUAACAAAUUCCGUAUUCAAUUUCAUUGUUCUUUUAGGUUAACCAAACAAGAAAAUUUACAAAUUCUAGAAAAUAAAAUCCCGUCAUUUUAAAAUUUCUUAGUAAACUUAAAUUUCUUCAUCCAAACAUAGAGUAAGAAAAUUAAAUAAAAAUAAGAACAAAAGUAAGAAAAAAGAAGCCGCUCAUCCUCCAUUCCUCCUCUCUCUCUCUCUCACUUCCCCAAACACAACAGCAGCAAUAUCAAUUGCAUCUCCUUCGUACUUUAAAUCCAUAAAUCAAACCCAAAAGACUCACCCCUCAAUUUAACUGCUCCUGCAAAGAAUAAAUCCCUUUUGGGCUGUCAGAUUUGUGAAUAUGAGUUUCCCCUGAAAUUUCUUUUAGGUGCAAAAUUCGUUGAAUUUACACCCUUGUCGAUCGAGAGGGAUGUCGAUGUCACCACGACGAUCUCCUAUUGCAAAUCCUUGGGGUCCUUGCCGAUGACCGUUCCCGCGAGCUCCUUCGGCUAUGGAUCUGUUCCUCAUAACCUUGGCGAUCUCUAUGACGUCAUCAAGGGAGAUGCUGCUGCUGUGCUUGGAAGAGGUGGUGGGAGGGGGCGGUGAUUGGUGGCAUUGGGAUGGAAGGGAAAUGGGAGAGGUACACAGUGCGCUGGGCUACGCUCUGAUUUUUUAUUUUUUUAUUUAUUUUAUUUUAUUUGGAGUUAACACCAUUAGGUUUGGUUGAGUGAAUGGACAUGAAAUGACAUACAACAUGGGAAAAUAAAUGGUUUUGUCUAAGGAAGACAUUUGAAAAUUAAAACACGAAAGAAACCUGAUUUAACAUACCAUUUAAACAUUUUUCUAAUCUAAAACAUGAAAGAAUUAUAUGAUCGAAAUUCGAAGAAGAAAACUAUUUGGAGAAAGAAUCAUGCAAUCAUUUUGCUAGGAAAAUUACAGAGAAAGUACCUCUUCAUUAUUGAAAAGUCUCGAUUGUCCACCAGCUUCAUCCUCCGUAACGAUUUCGUCGGCUUCUGUAGCAAUUGUUAAUUGAUCAGAGAAACCAAUAAGCUUUGGUAGAUUCCGAAGUGUUAAAAAUUUUAACUUUCGGAAAGGCUCGCCUAUGAGUUGCCCAUAACAUACACUUUCCAAACUCACAAGGUCUUCAAGAGCUAGAGAUUCCAGGUUGGAGAAGGCAUUAGGAGAGUAACUCCAAUUGACGGAGUUAAUGACAUAUUUAACUUCGUCGUUGUUUUGGACAUGGAAAUGCUUCAGUUGAUUAACAGCUCCACUGUCAAAUAGAUAGGAAAUAAUAUUCACACUCUCCACCCCAUCCAAGUACAACUGCUCACAUUUCUUUACCAGCAACUUUAUACCUCCGUCGAACUGAUUUCUCCUGGUGAGCUUGAGCUUGAGCAUGUUAGAGGAGGUUGCAAGGAUGUUAGGAUACUCCCAACAAUCACCGACAAGUAUGGUGUAUCUUUCUAACUUAUCGGAGAACAAGUCGGUUGGAAGAAGGUUAGCAUCUGGAACGUGUACGUCCAAUGCGGAUAGAUGAGAUAAGUGCUUCAGCUCUGAA